AAAAAAAAUGUAAUUAUAAUUUUAAUUUCAGUAACAAAUAUUUAUUUCACAGUGUUACUUACCACAUGUAACAUUGGCUGGGACGACUGGUACCGGAGCUCACGUUAGCGCAUUCAGUACAGACCCGGUGCAGCCUCAGGGCCGCGAUGCUGCACUUAGCAUAGCUUAUUAGCUUAGCUCCUUAGCCUCAGCUAACUGGGAAGUUUCGACGUAGCUGGGCGUGUUUCAGCGACCGGUCUGCAUUCGGCCCACCUCUUUGUCCAUAUUCUGAUUAGCCCGGUAAUGGAGGAGUCGGACCCUGUGUACUGAAAUAACAUUUUGUACUGGUGUAUUGAAAUAACACUUUGCACUGAACUAACAUAUAGCUAACUAAUGACAUAUAGCUAAAUAAUGGAAUAACAUGUAGCUAAAUAAAUACUGACACCUAUAAAGCUUGACAUACGUUAUACUUAAGAUUUUAUAACAAAUCUUGCAGAGCCUGCACUACGUGCAUAAGACUAAUUAACAUACAGACAGUAGAUGUCACAAGAUGUUCCCUUCAGACCAAAUUUAGCCUAGGACACAGACCAAAUUUAUCUUAGGACAGCAAAAUAAUUACACAAUAACGAUUACGAUAAGUCCAGACACAUAGUCAGGCGGUUCACCCACGUACAGACCGCACCCACCAUGCGGGAUAAAUAGCAAAUUAACUAUUGUACCAGGUUCCUGUCCUCUGCGCGAUCCAGCCCUGGUUGGUGACUCGUGAGACAGAAACCCAGAGACUCUGUAAGUAUUGUUAUUGCUUGGAGCAAAUAAACAUGAUUUGAU
Long non-coding RNA from Scophthalmus maximus (turbot), 807 nucleotides. RefSeq lists it as uncharacterized. The record is from RefSeq and is a predicted model, not a curated record. The transcript has 2 exons. NCBI's taxonomy places the organism in Eukaryota, Metazoa, Chordata, Actinopteri, Pleuronectiformes, Scophthalmidae.